AGUUUAUCUGGACGUUGUGCCCUAUUAUGAGCUCAACUCUGAAGCAGAUGUAGCAACAAAUUUCUUGGCCAUUGACAGCUUCUGCUUUUCUUUAAAUGCCUUGAGGAGAAACAACCUGUUUCAGACAUACAAAGAGAAGUCAGAAAAGACAGAUCUGCAGUCACAACCAACCUGAAGUUGUUCCCUGUGAAAAGCUCUGCUACACUUUUCCAAUUAUAUUUUGAGCCUCCCAAGUGAGAAAUCCUUCUCCUGUACUACUAGAGGACAGCUUCCCAAUUUAAUAAACACACUGUCAGGAAAACUUCUCCAGAGAAUUUAUCAGGACUCAUCCGCACUGUUUCGUUUUUCUCUCACUGAUGGUCACGCUGGUUCUCAUUGAAGACCCUAUGGCCAGUCAAG
This is a long non-coding RNA of Pezoporus flaviventris, 399 nucleotides long. RefSeq lists it as uncharacterized. The record is from RefSeq and is a predicted model, not a curated record. NCBI's taxonomy places the organism in Eukaryota, Metazoa, Chordata, Aves, Psittaciformes, Psittacidae. The transcript is spliced from 3 exons.